This 379-nucleotide ribosomal RNA is filed under the name uncultured bacterium. Its description in RNAcentral is "bacterial SSU rRNA". It matches the Rfam family "Bacterial small subunit ribosomal RNA", at positions 28 to 422 of the family's 1533-position model. The record is from RNAcentral.
AAUGAACGUUGGCGGCGUGGAUUAGGCAUGCAAGUCGAGCGAGAAGCCUCCUUCGGGAGGUGGACAGCGGCAAACGGGGUAGUAAGGCGUCGGUACGCACCCCCAGGACCGGGAUAGCCGUGGGAAACUGCGGGUAAUACCGGAUAAUAUCUCCGGAUCAAAUGGUGAGAUUCCGCCUGGGGACCGGCUGACGUGAUACCAGCUUGUUGGUGAGGUAACGGCUUACCAAGGCGAAGACGUCUAGGGGGUGUGAGAGCAUGGCCCCCACCACUGGGACUGAGACACUGCCCAGACACCUACGGGUGGCUGCAGUCGAGAAUCUUCGGCAAUGGGCAAAGCCUGACCGAGCGACGCCGCGUGCGGGAUGACGGCCCUUGGG